Molecule: RNA transcript, 1079 nt
Organism: Daktulosphaira vitifoliae (grape phylloxera)
Lineage: Eukaryota; Metazoa; Arthropoda; Insecta; Hemiptera; Phylloxeridae
Exons: 2
Source: RefSeq, a predicted model, not a curated record
UAUUAGAAGUAUCAUUUAACAAUUUGGAAUUUUAUAUCUAAUAUAAGUCGAAGUAACCUCAAUAUAUUUUUAAUGAUCGCAUACUUUUUAUUAUUCAUAUUUAUGAUAAAUAGUUUGAAUUUUAACAAAUAGAUAAUUAAUCAACAAGAUGGUUUUGAACUUAUUUAUUAAUUUUGUUAUUAUUAUAGUCACAGUCGUUUCAUGUCAAGCUGCUUUUAAUUCUAAUAAACAAAGUUCCGACGAUCCAUCGGAAAUAACAAAAAUUCGGUCUUGGAAAUUCGUUCAUAAUGAAAUCGUAAUUCUGCCAACAGGUAAAAGAAUAAGUUUGGAAGAAUUGAUAAAAAGCAUCAAUGAACAAGAUUAUAAAAUAAAUGGUGAUGAUGAAAAUGUGUACAAUUAUAAAUACAUUAAAGACAAUUUUUUUCGUACGGCCUUAGCUACAAGAUUAUUAAAGUAUAUUUGCUUAAUCUCUGAGUAUGCAUUUAGAUUAAAUAUGUUAAAAGGAUCAAAUUUCGAUGAUUUUAAAUGCACACUACGUACAACAUUAAAUCGAGCAAAAAAAUAUAUUGAAUAUUUUCGUGAGGAAUAUUUUUGGGAGAAUGAGACAGACCUUGAAAAAAAGAUCAAUAAUCUGGCAAACGUAAGUAAACGAAAUGAUAUUAUUGUACACAGUUUGAAUUAUAUUUAUGAUAUUUUAAGGAAAGAACUUAAAUAUAAAAAUUCUUUUUUAUAUUUAUGGCCAAAAAAUAUGCAUAUUAACAUUAAAAAAGAUUUAUACAAUACAUUGAAGAAUAAAAAAGUUAAUAUAUAUGAUGUUUUUGAUUUAACAAUUAAUGACCAGUGGAAGCUAUACGAGAAAAUGCAACGUAUAAGAAAAUUAAUGUAUGACGAAUGUUAUGAUUAAUUUAAUUGUUUGCUUUUAAUUUAUGAAAACGUUAAUAGAAGUGGAACGAUUGACGCAAAGUACUGUCUAACUUUAGAAGCAUUGAUUUUUUUUUUAAAUUCUCUAUUUAAAAAUUAAAUUAUUAAUGAAUAAAUAAAUAUUAAAUUAAUAAAAGAAAUACUGUAUUUUAAUAAAU